AGUGUUAGCGGCAGACAUGAGCAAAAACGUGAUAAAUUAUGGACAUCAAGUGGAUAAAUCGUGGAUGUAACAGUUUGGAUUUAAUGCUCAACAAUCCU
This is a long non-coding RNA of Etheostoma cragini (Arkansas darter), 98 nucleotides long. RefSeq lists it as uncharacterized. The transcript is spliced from 3 exons. The record is from RefSeq and is a predicted model, not a curated record. NCBI's taxonomy places the organism in Eukaryota, Metazoa, Chordata, Actinopteri, Perciformes, Percidae.